This 1841-nucleotide ribosomal RNA is filed under the name Triticum aestivum (bread wheat). RNAcentral's name for it is "partial small subunit ribosomal RNA". The record is from RNAcentral. Lineage: Eukaryota; Viridiplantae; Streptophyta; Magnoliopsida; Poales; Poaceae.
GUGCUACGACGCCGUACGCUACGCUACGGGCCGCAGGCCAAGCCAAGUACGAGAGAGCGGGCGGAGCCGCGGGUAGAGAGAGGGGUGGACAGAUGUAUAGCGGCGUGGCGUGGCGCGGAGGAGGGGCGCAGAGAUAGAGGCGGGUGCGGGCCGGUAUAUCGAUCGCUCGGUCGUCGUGUGUAAGGGUAGUGCUUAGGAGGAGCCCGAACCGGCUUAAGGGUGCGGUUGAAGUGUGGCGUGGUCUAAGCGCGGCGCGGCGUGGCGUGGCCCGCUCGGCCGGUGCGCGCGAGCGCGAGAUCCGUCUCGAUCGAUCGACGCCGUGCGUGUGUGUGUCUCGACUGGGAUGAGGCCCUCUAUAUGGUCAACUAGCCGGUGCUCUCCUUCGAUCGAUCCAUCGAACGGUUGAUCCUCCGCUUCCCGCCGGCCGGCCUCCGCGCUAGCUCCACCUGCCUGCCUCCGCUCUCGAGCGGCCUCUAGUAGUACAAGCUCCCCUACCUCGCCCGCCCCAUGCCGCACCCGCGGCCCCACCACGACAGCGCCCUGGGGUUCGGGGCCGACGCGACCUGCGGGCUGGACGUGCUCGCGAAGCACCUCCGGCAGUGGUUCGAGCCGCCCGGGCUGUUCCGCUGCGGGUUCAGCCACGACUCUGACUACCCGUACUUUCCCGAGUGGAACAUGGUGGAGUUCUCGGUAGAAGUCUUUAUGUCCUACCCUUUCGUCUCGUUCUUUCUGUGUCCGAAGCUUUGGUUGUCUCCUCGGAAGCGGCGCGUCCCAUAGUCAAAGAGGAGCCGCCACGGAGGUUUGCAAGGCAGGCGGCCUUUGUCGUUGUACCCCUUUAAAAUAUGGCUGUAGUGUUUUACGACCUAGUCAGGGCAGUUUCUUUUUACGACGUAGUCAGAUAGAUAUGGCUUAGUCAAAUAUCUUUGCGGUGAGCGCCUACGAAAUUCUAUAGUUUAGCUUCAGGUUUCCUUCGACGUGCUUGUCGAGCUCCAAGUCUUCUUCGACGUCUACGCGUAGCUCCGCGUUCCCUUCAUGGACGUUUGCUAGGACCUCUUCCGGGUCUUCUUGGAGAGGAUGCUUCGGCCGCCUCUGCGUUGGGAUCUCUGAUGGUCCAGCGUCGAGUGGCUGAAGUUGGAUCGGGAGAGCCCCAAGUACCUGCUGCGCUGCGUCCGCACGGUCGUCUUGCCGCCCCUCGACCGGUUCCGGGAGAGGCUGCUGCCGGAGUCUCGGCCGUUGGACCCGAAGGUCGAGAUGGUGCCGCCGCUGCUGCACUUUACGCGGUGGCUGCUCCUGGACGAGGACGACCUGGACUUGUAGUUUCCUCCCAUGCUAGUGGCCGACAGGCGGGUGCCGUACGGCGCGCCGCGCCACCUGGACUGCCAGCCGGUCGUGGCCUCCAUUUUUACACAAAGCCAUCUUCCCGCUCGCAUCAAAAAUUCAGCUCGUCAACUCGAGGGAUGCUCUCUAAGAAAACCGUCAGGGCUCCUACGAACAAAUGCCAGACCAAUGUGAAAUAUGCAUGCAUGGAUACGACUACAUUUUAGACACCUUUAACUCUAGGUCCGAAGCUUAUUCACAUCGAUCUACUACUAGCUCACACUCUAGACUAACGUGACACAUGCAUGGAGGAUUUUAAGACUAGCUGAUGAUCUUGUAUCGUAGUACCUCACAAAAACGACGACAACUCCCUACCGUAAUACUCCACAACGUACGUUGUCUGGUCCGUGGAAGUUCUCUAAGACAGACAGAACAUCAUCAACCCAAGUCAUCGAGACAAGGAUACAUACUUUUACUAUAGAACAAGGAUUACAGAACAGCUCAUUCGUCUAGUGUAAUAACCG